Molecule: ribosomal RNA, 120 nt
Filed under: Castor canadensis (American beaver)
Lineage: Eukaryota; Metazoa; Chordata; Mammalia; Rodentia; Castoridae
Source: RNAcentral
UGAGUCUACCAUACCACCCUAAAGUGCCUGAUCUUGUCUGGUUUUGGAAGCUAAGUAAGGUCAGAUGUGGUUAGUACUUGUAUGGGAGACUUAUUGGAGAACUGGGUGCUAUAGGCUUUU